GACGAACGCUGGCGGCGUGCUUAACACAUGCAAGUCGAACGGAAAGGCCCUGCUUUUGUGGGGUGCUCGAGUGGCGAACGGGUGAGUAACACGUGAGUAACCUGCCCUUGACUUUGGGAUAACUUCAGGAAACUGGGGCUAAUACCGGAUAGGAGCUCCUGCUGCAUGGUGGGGGUUGGAAAGUUUCGGCGGUUGGGGAUGGACUGGCGGCUUAUCAGCUUGUUGGUGGGGUAGUGGCUUACCAAGGCUUUGACGGGUAGCCGGCCUGAGAGGGUGACCGGCCACAUUGGGACUGAGAUACGGCCCAGACGCCUACGGGAGGCAGCAGUGGGGAAUAUUGCACAAUGGGCGGAAGCCUGAUGCAGCAACGCCGCGUGCGGGAUGACGGCCUUCGGGUUGUAAACCGCUUUCGCCUGUGACGAAGCGUGAGUGACGGUAAUGGGUAAAGAAGCACCGGCUAACUACGUG
Molecule: ribosomal RNA, 468 nt
Filed under: uncultured bacterium
Lineage: Bacteria
Description: partial 16S ribosomal RNA
Rfam family: Bacterial small subunit ribosomal RNA
Source: RNAcentral